UAGGCAGAGCGGAUGAUCGCUGCCUCGUAAGAGGGAGAGGAAAGUCCGGGCUUCAUAGGGCAGGAUGCCGGAUAACGUCCGGCCGGGGUAACCCGAGGACCAGUGCAACAGAAAAUUACCGCCCGCAAGGGUAAGGGUGAAAAGGCAGUGUAAGAGACUACCGCCGCUGCAGUAAUGUAUCGGGCAUAUGUAAACUCCAUCCGAAGCAAGACCAAGCAGAAAGCAUACGUCGGCCCGGCGGCUUUCGGGUAGGUCGCUUGAGCCUGUCGGCGACGACAGGCCUAGAUAGAUGAUCAUCCACGACAGAACCCGGCUUACAGCCCUGCCUAUUUU
Molecule: RNase P RNA, 333 nt
Filed under: Candidatus Minthocola equi
Lineage: Bacteria; Bacillati; Bacillota; Clostridia; Lachnospirales; Lachnospiraceae
Description: RNase P RNA component class A
Rfam family: Bacterial RNase P class A
About the family: Ribonuclease P (RNase P) is a ubiquitous endoribonuclease, found in archaea, bacteria and eukarya as well as chloroplasts and mitochondria.
Source: RNAcentral